UGACUAUAUCACAUUUAAACACCAGUUUCCAUAUGAUCCCUGAAGUUAAGCAAUGCCAAGUCUACUCGGUACCUUAGAUUGGUGACCGCUUGGGAAUACUAGGUGCUGUAA
Acanthosepion pharaonis is the source of this 111-nucleotide non-coding RNA. Lineage: Eukaryota; Metazoa; Mollusca; Cephalopoda; Sepiida; Sepiidae. The record is from the annotation of a GenBank genome assembly.